AUGGUUGGGAGAAUCCAAGAUCAGUGUUUUCCUAUGACGGUGGGUUAUUUGUGGAGCUUGGUGGGGAUAUAUUUCACAAGGAAUGCAGUCUGAAUUCUUGAUAUUGUAAAGUUAAACCACAAUCCAAACUAGAAGUUCAAUGCCUAGUGCUGACCACAAGAUAUGAGUGAUGUAAAUAGAUCAAACACACGCGCAAAGAUAAUUCAGAUUUGAUGCAAACAAGGAGGAUGCCUAGGAUGCAAGUGUUGCAAUCAAAUCCAAGCAAAAUUUUGCACCAAAGAUGGAUAAUGACUGAUUGUGUGACUUGAUAUAAAAUUCAGAACUUGAGCACAUAAACAGAGUGAACUUUCUACUCUUUCUUCACAACUUUUCUUCCUCAACUCUCCUUUUUUUCACUUUCUCUUUUUUUGAUACUUUUUUUAUAACUAAGAACAAGAGCAGAUAUAACACUUGCACACACUUUUUUUUUGAAACAAGACACAACCGUCAGCGUUCUAACUUGAUAGGCUCAAAGUUUACGCGAAGGAUGAUACCGGUUUCAGAUUUUCUUUAGGGAUUUGUAGAUAUAAAAGAGGCACAAAGGACACACAAAGGAUAUGAUGAUCAACAACUAAACAAAACUCUAAUGGACUGAAACUUAACCAAACUCACAAGAAAACAGACUGAAACAAAGGGCUAAUGCAAUUUUUUUUAUGGCUUUUUGGUGGAUAGGACGAACAAGAUAUAUAUAUAUAGCUAAGGGUAAAAAUCCUACCGUGGAAACUUGAGCUUUGAUACCAGAUGGUGAUGUCGUUGUCCUGAUCUUCACAACGUAGGAUAACUAGCUGAAGAUCAGCCGAUAACUUGCUGCAAGUAGCGAGGAUAACUAGUGCAACCUGACGACACGCACAAGGAGCCAACCACCAUCUCUAUACGGCAGCCUGAACCAAGGAUUCGCCCAACCACACUCUCAAAAAACCAACGUACGCAACCUGAACUCGAGGAUCAGGAGCACGGAUUGGGUGCCGAUGACGCGGCCGCUUCUGUAAUCUCCGCGAAGGAAAACACAAGAGCAAAGGGGUAGAGAUCUCUCUCUGAAUUUGUUAGCACACAGCUGAACAAAGUGGUUUGGAUUCUCAAUAUCAUAAGUCUGAGAUAACAAUGAGUCUAGGGGGUAUUUGUGUAUGCCAACCAGCACGAAACUCUGUAGAUUGGUACAGUUUUACUUGGCAAGUUGUACCAAUAUUCUGUCACGACAGACUGUUGACCUUCUGAGCAGUCUGUACUAAUUCUGGUCUAGAGGUAAUAUGGGGUAUCCAAACUGGCCGCCACAAGAUUCAUUGGAAAGUAGACUCGAAGAGCUUUCCAACAAGUGCUCAUGGGCCUUCAUAGCAUCUCGGAAGUGAAAGUUAUGUUCUUUUCUUUCAACUGGUCCGUUCUGCACCGCACUGGUCCGAUCUGCCCUUCUUUCAACUCAUCCGUUCUGCACCGUGUUGUUCCAAUCCUUGCGGUCCAGGUCACCUCUCUCCUCAUGUGUAUACCU
Molecule: long non-coding RNA, 1522 nt
Filed under: Sorghum bicolor (sorghum)
Lineage: Eukaryota; Viridiplantae; Streptophyta; Magnoliopsida; Poales; Poaceae
Description: long non-coding RNA (SBIC_LNC012660)
Source: RNAcentral